CAAAAUUUUUAUCAAAUUAUAAGUCUGAUAUUAAACCUUUUAAGUUUAAAUUGAAAAUGUUAUUUAGG
This 68-nucleotide transfer RNA is filed under the name Metaperipatus inae. Its description in RNAcentral is "tRNA-Lys". Lineage: Eukaryota; Metazoa; Onychophora; Udeonychophora; Euonychophora; Peripatopsidae. The record is from RNAcentral.